UACGUAGGGGGCAAGCGUUAUCCGGAUUUACUGGGUGUAAAGGGAGCGCAGGCGGUAUGGCAAGUCAGAUGUGAAAACCCAGGGCUCAACCCUGGGACUGCAUUUGAAACUGCCAUACUGGAGUGCAGGAGAGGUAAGCGGAAUUCCUGGUGUAGCGGUGAAAUGCGUAGAUAUCAGGAGGAACACCAGUGGCGAAGGCGGCUUACUGGACUGUAACUGACGUUGAGGCUCGAAAGCGUGGGGAGCAAACAGG
This 253-nucleotide ribosomal RNA is filed under the name uncultured Eubacteriales bacterium. RNAcentral describes it as "uncultured Clostridiales bacterium partial 16S ribosomal RNA". It matches the Rfam family "Bacterial small subunit ribosomal RNA", at positions 524 to 776 of the family's 1533-position model. The record is from RNAcentral. Lineage: Bacteria; Bacillati; Bacillota; Clostridia; Eubacteriales.